This 104-nucleotide ribosomal RNA is filed under the name Cephalotus follicularis. The record is from RNAcentral. Lineage: Eukaryota; Viridiplantae; Streptophyta; Magnoliopsida; Oxalidales; Cephalotaceae.
GGGUGCGAUCAUACCAGCACUAUUGCACUGGAUCCCAUCAGAACUUCGAAGUUAAGCGUGCUUGGGCUACAAUGGUACUAAGACGAACUUUGUCGUAGGACUUC